AGAGUUUGAUCCUGGCUCAGGAUGAACGCUAGCUACAGGCUUAACACAUGCAAGUCGAGGGGCAGCAUGGUCUUAGCUUGCUAAGGCCGAUGGCGACCGGCGCACGGGUGAGUAACACGUAUCCAACCUGCCGUCUACUCUUGGACAGCCUUCUGAAAGGAAGAUUAAUACAAGAUGGCAUCAUGAGUCCGCAUGUUCGCAUGAUUAAAGGUAUUCCGGUAGACGAUGGGGGAUGCGUUCCAUUAGAUAGUAGGCGGGGUAACGGCCCACCUAGUCUUCGAUGGAUAGGGGUUCUGAGAGGAAGGUCCCCCANAUUGGAACUGAGACACGGUCCAAACUCCUACGGGAGGCA
This 352-nucleotide ribosomal RNA is filed under the name uncultured bacterium. Its description in RNAcentral is "bacterial SSU rRNA". It matches the Rfam family "Bacterial small subunit ribosomal RNA", at positions 8 to 350 of the family's 1533-position model. The record is from RNAcentral.